This 439-nucleotide ribosomal RNA is filed under the name uncultured bacterium. RNAcentral's name for it is "partial 16S ribosomal RNA". It matches the Rfam family "Bacterial small subunit ribosomal RNA", at positions 339 to 795 of the family's 1533-position model. The record is from RNAcentral.
CUACGGGCCGCAGCAGUGAGGAAUAUUGCACAAUGGGGGGAACCCUGAUGCAGCAACGCCGCGUGGAGGAUGACGCAUUUCGGUGUGUAAACUCCUUUUAUAUGUCAAGAAAAUGACGGUAGCAUAUGAAUAAGCACUGGCUAACUCCGUGCCAGCAGCCGCGGUAAUACGGAGGGUGCAAGCGUUACUCGGAAUCACUGGGCGUAAAGGACGCGUAGGCGGGUUGGAAAGUCAGGUGCGAAAUCCUACAGCUUAACUGUAGAACUGCACUUGAAACUUCUAAUCUAGAGUAUGGGAGGGGGAGAUGGAAUUAGUGGUGUAGGGGUAAAAUCCGUAGAUAUCACUAGGAAUACCUAAAGCGAAGGCGAUCUCCUGGAACAUUACUGACGCUAAGGCGUGAAAGCGUGGGGAGCAAACAGGAUUAGAUACCCUUGUAGUC